AACGAACGCUGGCGGCAUGCCUAACACAUGCAAGUCGAACGAGACCUUCGGGUCUAGUGGCGCACGGGUGCGUAACGCGUGGGAACCUGCCCUUAGGUUCGGAAUAACUCCCCGAAAGGGGUGCUAAUACCGGAUAAUGUCUUCGGACCAAAGAUUUAUCGCCUUUGGAUGGGCCCGCGUUGGAUUAGCUAGUUGGUAGGGUAAAAGCCUACCAAGGCGACGAUCCAUAGCUGGUCUGAGAGGAUGAUCAGCCACACUGGGACUGAGACACGGCCCAGACUCCUACGGGAGGCAGCAGUGGGGAAUAUUGGACAAUGGGCGGAAGCCUGAUCCAGCAAUGCCGCGUGAGUGAUGAAGGCCUUAGGGUUGUAAAGCUCUUUUACCCGGGAUGAUAAUGACAGUACCGGAAGAAUAAGCUCCGGCUAACUCCGUG
Molecule: ribosomal RNA, 433 nt
Filed under: uncultured bacterium
Lineage: Bacteria
Description: partial 16S ribosomal RNA
Rfam family: Bacterial small subunit ribosomal RNA
Source: RNAcentral